AUAAAAAUUAGUGGCAGACGGGUGAGUAAUGCAUAGGAAUCUACCUAGUAGUAUGGGAUAGCCACUAGAAAUGGUGGGUAAUACUGUAUAAUCCCUGCGGGGGAAAGAUUUAUCGCUAUUAGAUGAGCCUAUGUUAGAUUAGCUAGUUGGUAGGGUAAAGGCCUACCAAGGCAGUGAUCUAUAGCUGGUCUGAGAGGAUGAUCAGCCACACUGGAACUGAGAUACGGUCCAGACUCCUACGGGAGGCAGCAGUGGGGAAUAUUGGACAAUGGGCGCAAGCCUGAUCCAGCUAUGCCGCGUGAGUGAGGAAGGCCUUAGGGUUGUAAAACUCUUUCAGUGGGGAAGAUAAUGACGGUACCCACAGAAGAAGUCCCGGCAAACUCCGUGCCAGCAGCCGCGGUAAUACGGAGGGGGCAAGCGUUGUUCGGAAUUAUUGGGCGUAAAGGGCAUGUAGGCGGUUCGGUAAGUUAAAGGUGAAAUGCCAGGGCUUAACCCUGGAGCUGCUUUUAAUACUGCCAGACUCGAGUCCGGGAGAGGAUAGCGGAAUUCCUAGUGUAGAGGUGAAAUUCGUAGAUAUUAGGAGGAACACCAGUGGCGAAGGCGGCUAUCUGGUCCGGUACUGACGCUGAGGUGCGAAAGCGUGGGGAGCAAACAGGAUUAGAUACCCCGGUACUCCAC
RNAcentral lists this ribosomal RNA (678 nucleotides) under Anaplasma platys. RNAcentral's name for it is "bacterial SSU rRNA". It matches the Rfam family "Bacterial small subunit ribosomal RNA", at positions 85 to 798 of the family's 1533-position model. The record is from RNAcentral. Lineage: Bacteria; Pseudomonadati; Pseudomonadota; Alphaproteobacteria; Rickettsiales; Anaplasmataceae.